Molecule: ribosomal RNA, 252 nt
Filed under: uncultured bacterium
Lineage: Bacteria
Description: partial 16S ribosomal RNA
Rfam family: Bacterial small subunit ribosomal RNA
Source: RNAcentral
UACGAAGGGGGCUAGCGUUGCUCGGAAUCACUGGGCGUAAAGCGCACGUAGGCGGAUCUUUAAGUCAGGGGUGAAAUCCUGGAGCUCAACUCCAGAACUGCCUCUGAUACUGGGGAUCUUGAGUCCGGAAGAGGUAAGUGGAACUGCGAGUGUAGAGGUGAAAUUCGUAGAUAUUCGCAAGAACACCAGUGGCGAAGGCGGCUUACUGGUCCGGUACUGACGCUGAGGUGCGAAAGCGUGGGGAGCAACAGG